UACGUAGGUGGCAAGCGUUGUCCGGAUUUACUGGGUGUAAAGGGCGUGUAGACGGGUGUUUAAGUCAGACGUGAAAUACCGAAGCUCAACUUCGGAACUGCGUUUGAAACUGCACAUCUUGAGUGCAGGAGAGGAAAGCGGAAUUCCUAGUGUAGCGGUGAAAUGCGUAGAUAUUAGGAGGAACACCAGUGGCGAAGGCGGCUUUCUGGACUGUAACUGACGUUGAGGCGCGAAAGUGUGGGGAGCAAACAGG
This 253-nucleotide ribosomal RNA is filed under the name uncultured bacterium. RNAcentral's name for it is "partial 16S ribosomal RNA". It matches the Rfam family "Bacterial small subunit ribosomal RNA", at positions 524 to 776 of the family's 1533-position model. The record is from RNAcentral.